This 253-nucleotide ribosomal RNA is filed under the name Klebsiella pneumoniae. RNAcentral's name for it is "partial 23S ribosomal RNA". It matches the Rfam family "Bacterial large subunit ribosomal RNA", at positions 1129 to 1384 of the family's 2925-position model. Lineage: Bacteria; Pseudomonadati; Pseudomonadota; Gammaproteobacteria; Enterobacterales; Enterobacteriaceae. The record is from RNAcentral.
AAAGCGUAAUAGCUCACUGAUCGAGUCGUCCUGCGCGGAAGAUGUAACGGGGCUAAGCCAGUUACCGAAGCUGCGGAUGCAUCGCAAGAUGCGUGGUAGGAGAGCGUUCUGUAAGCCUGUGAAGGUGGGUUGUGAAGCCUGCUGGAGGUAUCAGAAGUGCGAAUGCUGACAUGAGUAGCGUUAAAGGGGGUGAAAAGCCCCCUCGCCGAAAGCGCAAGGUUUCCUACGCAACGUUCAUCGGCGUAGGGUGAGU